GACGAACGCUGGCGGCGUGCUUAACACAUGCAAGUCGAACGAAGUGGCGAACGGGUGAGUAAUGCGUCAUCAACCUGCCCUUCAGAGGGGGACAACAGUUGGAAACGACUGCUAAUACCGCAUACUGAAGGAGGGGAUUGCGUCUGAUGGGGUAGUUGGCGGGGUCACGGCCCACCAAGGCGAGUAUCAGUAGGCGGUCUGAGAGGAUGAACGGCCACAUUGGGACUGAGACACGGCCCAGACUCCUACGGGAGGCAGCAGUGGGGAAUCUUCCGCAAUGGACGAAAGUCUGACGGAGCAACGCCGCGGGAGUGAUGACGGCCUUCGGGUGGUAAAGCUCUGUUAAUCGGGACGCGGUACCGGAAUAGAAAGCCACGGCUAACUACGUGCCAGCAGCCGCGGUAAUAC
RNAcentral lists this ribosomal RNA (408 nucleotides) under uncultured bacterium. RNAcentral's name for it is "partial 16S ribosomal RNA". It matches the Rfam family "Bacterial small subunit ribosomal RNA", at positions 28 to 526 of the family's 1533-position model. The record is from RNAcentral.